CCUACGGGAGGCUGCAGUGGGGAAUAUUGCGCAAUGGGCGAAAGCCUGACGCAGCGACGCCGCGUGAGGGAUGAAGGUCUUCGGAUCGUAAACCUCUGUCAGCAGGGAAGAACGGUCACUGUGCUAAUCAGCAGUGAAUUGACGGUACCUGCAAAGGUAGCACCGGCUAACUCCGUGCCAGCAGCCGCGGUAAUACGGAGGGGUGGAGCGUUAAUCGGAAUUACUGGGCGGAAAGCGCUCGUAGGCGGGAUGUCAAGUCAAGGGUGAAAUCCCCGCGCUCAACGUGGGAAGUGCCUUUGAAACUGGCAAACUGGAGUGUGGGAGAGGAUAGUGGAAUUCCAGGUGUAGGAGUGAAAUGCGUAGAUAUCUGGAGGAACAUCAGUGGCGAAGGCGACUAUCUGGCACAUAACUGACGCUGAGGAGCGAAAGCGUGGGUAGCAAACAGGAUUAGAUACCCCAGUAGUC
Molecule: ribosomal RNA, 465 nt
Filed under: uncultured bacterium
Lineage: Bacteria
Description: partial 16S ribosomal RNA
Rfam family: Bacterial small subunit ribosomal RNA
Source: RNAcentral